RNAcentral lists this ribosomal RNA (257 nucleotides) under uncultured bacterium. Its description in RNAcentral is "partial small subunit ribosomal RNA". It matches the Rfam family "Bacterial small subunit ribosomal RNA", at positions 27 to 286 of the family's 1533-position model. The record is from RNAcentral.
GGGACGAACGCUGGCGGCGUGCUUAACACAUGCAAGUCGAGCGGAAAGGCCCUUCGGGGUACUCGAGCGGCGAACGGGUGAGUAACACGUGAGCAACCUGCCCUUGGCUCUGGGAUAGCCUCCGGAAACGGGGAUUAAAUACCGGACAUUCACUUUCUCCUGCAUGGGUGAUGGUGGAAAGUUUUUCGGCCAGGGAGGGGCUCGCGGCCUAUCAGCUUGUUGGCGGGGUAACGGCCCACCAAGGCGACGACGGGUAG